This 497-nucleotide ribosomal RNA is filed under the name uncultured bacterium. RNAcentral's name for it is "partial 16S ribosomal RNA". It matches the Rfam family "Bacterial small subunit ribosomal RNA", at positions 28 to 507 of the family's 1533-position model. The record is from RNAcentral.
GAUGAACGCUGGCGGCGUGCCUAAUACAUGCAAGUCGAGCGAACGGACGAGAAGCUUGCUUCUCUGAUGUUAGCGGCGGACGGGUGAGUAACACGUGGAUAACCUACCUAUAAGACUGGGAUAACUUCGGGAAACCGGAGCUAAUACCGGAUGAUAUUUUGAACCGCAUGGUUCAAAAGUGAAAGACGGUCUUGCUGUCACUUAUAGAUGGAUCCGCGCUGCAUUAGCUAGUUGGUAAGGUAACGGCUUACCAAGGCAACGAUGCAUAGCCGACCUGAGAGGGUGGUCGGCCACACUGGAACUGAGACACGGUCCAGACACCUACGGGAGGCAGCAGUAGGGAAUCUUCCGCAAUGGGCGAAAGCCUGACGGAGCAACGCCGCGUGAGUGAUGAAGGUCUUCGGAUCGUAAAACUCUGUUAUUAGGGAAGAACAUAUGUGUAAGUAACUGUGCACAUCUUGACGGUACCUAAUCAGAAAGCCACGGCUAACUACGUG